This 351-nucleotide ribosomal RNA is filed under the name uncultured bacterium. RNAcentral's name for it is "bacterial SSU rRNA". It matches the Rfam family "Bacterial small subunit ribosomal RNA", at positions 917 to 1269 of the family's 1533-position model. The record is from RNAcentral.
GGGCCCGCACAAGCGGUGGAGUAUGUGGUUUAAUUCGAUGCAACGCGAAGAACCUUACCAGGGUUUGACAUCCUGCGAAUUUCUGGGAAACCGGAAAGUGCCUUCGGGAGCGCAGUGACAGGUGGUGCAUGGCUGUCGUCAGCUCGUGUCGUGAGAUGUUGGGUUAAGUCCCGCAACGAGCGCAACCCACGUCUUUAGUUGCCAGCAUUUAGUUGGGCACUCUAGAGAGACCGCCGGUGAUAAACCGGAGGAAGGUGUGGAUGACGUCAAGUCAUCAUGCCCCUUACAUCCUGGGCUACACACGUACUACAAUGCUACGGACAAAGGGCAGCAAACUCGCGAGAGCUAGCA